This 598-nucleotide ribosomal RNA is filed under the name Purpureocillium lilacinum. RNAcentral describes it as "SSU rRNA". It matches the Rfam family "Bacterial small subunit ribosomal RNA", at positions 374 to 940 of the family's 1533-position model. The record is from RNAcentral. Lineage: Eukaryota; Fungi; Ascomycota; Sordariomycetes; Hypocreales; Ophiocordycipitaceae.
GCCUAACGGCUGAACUGGCAACUUGGAGAAGUGGCAAGUCUUAUUUUGAUUAUAUCAUAGAAUAUAAUCUAUAAGAUUGUAUUAAAAUUGAAUAAAGCUUUGUUUAUAUAUUGAUAAUGACAGUAUAUAUAUCGUGUCUUGACUAAUUACGUGCCAGCAGUCGCGGUAAUACGUAAGAGACUAGUGUUAUUCAUCUUAAUUAGGUUUAAAGGGUACCUAGACGGUCAAUAUAGCUUCUAGAAUGUUAGUACUUGACUAGAGUUUUAUGUAAGAGGGCAGUACUUGAGGAGGAGAGAUGAAAUUCUAUGAUACCAAAGGGACUCGGUAAAGGCGAAGGCAGCCCUCUAUGUAAAAACUGACGUUGAAGGACGAAGGCACAGAGCACAAACAGGAUUAGAUACCCAAGUAGUCUUUGCAGUAAAUGAUGAAUGCCAUAGGUCAGAUUAAGAUUUAAUAACUUAGUUUGUCAGUAAAGAAGAACUAAUUAUUAAACAAUAUUUGGUCUAUAAAUGAAAGUGUAAGCAUUUCACCUCAAGAGUAAUGUGGCAACGCAGGAACUGAAAUCACUAGACCGUUUCUGAAACCAGUAGUGAAGUAU